GAUGAACGCUGGCGGCGUGCUUAACACAUGCAAGUCGAACGGAAAGGCUCCUGCUUGCAGGGGUACUCGAGUGGCGAACGGGUGAGUAACACGUGGGUGAUCUGCCCUGCACUUCGGGAUAAGCCUGGGAAACUGGGUCUAAUACCGGAUAGGACGAUGGUUUGGAUGCCAUUGUGGAAAGUUUUUGGGUGUGGGAGGACCUCGCGGCCUAUCAGCUUGUUGGGGGGGUAAUGGCCUACCAAGGCGUCGACGGGUAGCCGGCCUGAGAGGGUGUACGGCCACAUUGGGACUGAGAUACGGCCCAGACUCCUACGGGAGGCAGCAGUGGGGAAUAUUGCACAAUGGGCGCAAGCCUGAUGCAGCGACGCCGCGUGGGGGAUGACGGCCUUCGGGUUGUAAACUCCUUUCGCUAGGGACGAAGCGUUUUGUGACGGUACCUGGAGAAGAAGCACCGGCUAACUACGUG
Molecule: ribosomal RNA, 466 nt
Filed under: uncultured bacterium
Lineage: Bacteria
Description: partial 16S ribosomal RNA
Rfam family: Bacterial small subunit ribosomal RNA
Source: RNAcentral